RNAcentral lists this ribosomal RNA (253 nucleotides) under uncultured bacterium. RNAcentral's name for it is "partial 16S ribosomal RNA". It matches the Rfam family "Bacterial small subunit ribosomal RNA", at positions 524 to 776 of the family's 1533-position model. The record is from RNAcentral.
UAAAGAGGGUGCAAGCGUUAAUCGGAAUUACUGGGCGUAAGGCGCGCGUAGGCCGUCGAGUAAGUCGGAUGUGAAAUCCCCGGGCUUAACCUGGGAAUUGCAUUCGAUACUGCUUGACUAGAGUGUGGAAGAGGGAAGCGGAAUUUCCGGUGUAGCGGUGAGAUGCGUAGAUAUCGGAAGGAACACCAGUGGCGAAGGCGGUUUCCUGGUCCAACACUGACGCUGAGGCGCGAAAGCUAGGGUAGCGAACGGG